UCACCUUCAGAUGGUAUCCAGUAUCUCCCCCGGCCCCCACUCCACACAUUCACUUUGGAACCUGAAACCCCCUCCCUGCCACCCCUCACCAAGCCCGUCUCAGGCACCUCUCCCUAAUUUCCCUUCCAACCCAUAGUACACGCCUCAAAAACUUCUCCAGCCUCCACCCAGUUAACUGGUUCCUUGGCUUUAGAUGCUUUUGACAUUUACACUUAUUUAUUUGUGUGCAUAUCAUUCCUGUGCGUGCAAGUGUGCCUCGGAGUGUGUGGCCAUCACAGCGCAACCUUACGGGAGCAGUUCCCUCUUCACCCUGUGUCAAGCACAGGAUCUUGUUUAUGCUAGAGAAGAGCUCUGCCAUUGAGCUUUAUCCCAGCCCUGCACUGAGGGACCCAGGGAACUGGGGGCAGGAGGACAAGCCCACCCCACGUCUCCCACAUCACUAGUGUCGGCCUCCGGCAUAGGCCUCCCCAGGCAGGGAGAAGACAGCGUCUGGACAUUACAGACGUAUGUACCAAGAGCAAGAAUGGUGACUGAAAACUUGUACUUGAGACUUGGAAAACAAUGGGAAAGGUCGUUAUUAACAUUCCCACCUGCUGGACUAUGUUAUGUCCUGCUCCCCAGUCUUAGGAGCAACAGCAGCCCCAUCCCAUUCUCAGUGCUAAUAAUCUCCAGGAAAAGUCUAGAGGCUGUGUGUGAGCCCUGGCUUCACUACUCACUAGGUCCCACUGCUUCUGAAGCAGUAAGCAUACCAUGGUCGAGUCUCAGCAGGAGCAGGAGGCUGGCUGGUCACAUUGUAUCCACACUCAGGGAGCGCACGGUGAGCAGGAAGUAAACCCAGCAACCCACUUUCUCCAGCAACUGCUCUGAGUCUCACAGCUCCCACACCCUUCUGGAACAGCAGCCCCCGCUGUGCUGCUGCGGCUCGAUGGUGGACGUUUCAACCACACACACACAAAUGACAAAGACUCUUUAUGUUGCAUCUAUAUAUGUUUGCACAUACACUCACGCACGCACAUGUGUAACAAUAACAAAGAAAAUAGGCCAUCAGCUUGAGAGUGGUGGUGGGGUAUUGUGAGAGGGGUUUAAGGGAGGGUAUCUGGGAGGCAUUGGGGGGGAGUAAGGAAGGGGGAAAAGUGUGGUAAAACUAUUUCAAUUAAAAGUAUAUUUGAAACUGG
Molecule: long non-coding RNA, 1175 nt
Organism: Mesocricetus auratus (golden hamster)
Lineage: Eukaryota; Metazoa; Chordata; Mammalia; Rodentia; Cricetidae
Exons: 5
Source: RefSeq, a predicted model, not a curated record